GGCCUCGUAACAUUGGCUGUACUAAAGCCUUCCCCAUACUGGUGUGGGUUCGAAUCCCACCGAGGCCU
Molecule: transfer RNA, 68 nt
Filed under: Schistocephalus solidus
Lineage: Eukaryota; Metazoa; Platyhelminthes; Cestoda; Diphyllobothriidea; Diphyllobothriidae
Source: Rfam by way of RNAcentral